Molecule: ribosomal RNA, 871 nt
Filed under: Salmonella enterica
Lineage: Bacteria; Pseudomonadati; Pseudomonadota; Gammaproteobacteria; Enterobacterales; Enterobacteriaceae
Description: partial 23S ribosomal RNA
Rfam family: Bacterial large subunit ribosomal RNA
Source: RNAcentral
AGCAUUCUCUGGUGUUGAAGGCCCUGCAAAGCAGCAUCGCGGUGGCGGAGCGUCGUUUGCGACGCCCAACACACAAAACAAGCGGUGAGUGCUUUGGGGUGGGGUGACUGCGUACCUUUUGUAUAAUGGGUCAGCGACUUAUAUUCUGUAGCAAGGUUAACCGUAUAGGGGAGCCGGAGGGAAACCGAGUCUUAAUUGGGCGUUAAGUUGCAGGGUAUAGACCCGAAACCCGGUGAUCUAGCCAUGGGCAGGUUGAAGGUUGGGUAACACUAACUGGAGGACCGAACCGACUAAUGUUGAAAAAUUAGCGGAUGACCUGUGGCUGGGGGUGAAAGGCCAAUCAAACCGGGAGAUAGCUGGUUCUCCCCGAAAGCUAUUUAGGUAGCGCCUCGUGAAUUCAUCUCCGGGGGUAGAGCACUGUUUCGGCUAGGGGGCCAUCCCGGCUUACCAACCCGAUGCAAACUGCGAAUACCGGAGAAUGUUAUCACGGGAGACACACGGCGGGUGCUAACGUCCGUCGUGAAGAGGGAAACAACCCAGACCGCCAGCUAAGGUCCCAAAGUCAUGGUUAAGUGGGAAACGAUGUGGGAAGGCCCAGACAGCCAGGAUGUUGGCUUAGAAGCAGCCAUCAUUUAAAGAAAGCGUAAUAGCUCACUGGUCGAGUCGGCCUGCGCGGAAGAUGUAACGGGGCUAAACCAUGCACCGAAGCUGCGGCAGCGAACGUAUCACUUAAAGCGAUUCAGCGGGUUACGAUUGACGGAGCGAAGCGACGUCAAAGCGUAUACAAAGUCGAGUCGGUUUAAGGAUACGUUCGUUGGGUAGGGGAGCGUUCUGUAAGCCUGCGAAGGUGGCCUGUGAGGGUUGCUGGAGG